RNAcentral lists this ribosomal RNA (266 nucleotides) under uncultured bacterium. Its description in RNAcentral is "partial 16S ribosomal RNA". It matches the Rfam family "Bacterial small subunit ribosomal RNA", at positions 57 to 305 of the family's 1533-position model. The record is from RNAcentral.
GCAAGUCGAACGAGAAAGCAGACUUCGGUCUGCAAGUACAGUGGCAGACGGGUGAGUAACACGUGGGUAAUCUGCCCGGAGGUGGGGGAUAACCUUCCGAAAGGAAGGCUAAUACCGCAUAAUAUCUGAUUUGUUUCGGCUUAUCAGAUCAAAGUUGGCCUCUUCUUGAAAGCUAACACCAUCGGAUGAGCUCGCGGCCCAUUAGCUUGUUGGUGAGGUAACGGCUCACCAAGGCUACGAUGGGUAGCCGGCCUGAGAGGGCGAUC